This 497-nucleotide ribosomal RNA is filed under the name uncultured bacterium. Its description in RNAcentral is "partial 16S ribosomal RNA". It matches the Rfam family "Bacterial small subunit ribosomal RNA", at positions 28 to 507 of the family's 1533-position model. The record is from RNAcentral.
GAUGAACGCUGGCGGCGUGCCUAAUACAUGCAAGUCGAGCGAACGGACGAGAAGCUUGCUUCUCUGAUGUUAGCGGCGGACGGGUGAGUAACACGUGGAUAACCUACCUAUAAGACUGGGAUAACUUCGGGAAACCGGAGCUAAUACCGGAUAAUAUUUUGAACCGCAUGGUUCAACAGUGAAAGACGUUCUUGCUGUCACUUAUAGAUGGAUCCGCGCUGCAUUAGCUAGUUGGUAAGGUAACGGCUUACCAAGGCAACGAUGCAUAGCCGACCUGAGAGGGUGAUCAGCCACACUGGAACUGAGACACGGUCCAGACUCCUACGGGAGGCAGCAGUAGGGAAUCUUCCGCAAUGGGCGAAAGCCUGACGGAGCAACGCCGCGUGAGUGAUGAAGGUCUUCGGAUCGUAAAACUCUGUUAUUAGGGAAGAACAUAUGUGUAAGUAACUGUGCACAUCUUGACGGUACCUAAUCAGAAAGCCACGGCUAACUACGUG